GACAAGGAGGGCAAGAGUGAUCACUGACUCGGUGCCUUGGAUGGCGGAGCUCCCGUGUUGUUCCUUACGUGUGACAGCUAUUUCAUCUCAAGCUGAUCCCAUAAAGUGGAUACUGUUAUUAGCCCUAUUUUACAAUCUGCCCAAGAGGGGGUGAGGCCUGGAAGUGAGGCGGGCAGAGAUGGGACGUACAUCACAAAGUCUGGAGAGGGCGCCUCCAGAUGCUUCUUUGCAGGGCUUGCUGCCUCUUGAACCAUGAACUUUGUCUCAAAAGCCAUCUGGUUUCUCGUCUCGAAAACAUCCCACGACAGCUCUGAGUGCUGCAAACCAGGCUGGGUCAUCUGCUGCUGCUGGCUUCCAGAUAUUGCUCCAAACGUUUCUGCAAGGCUGGUGACGUCCCAAGACACUGAGACUUUAGAUGCCCCCUGCCCAAUAUUUGGUAGUGCUC
Molecule: long non-coding RNA, 445 nt
Organism: Eubalaena glacialis (North Atlantic right whale)
Lineage: Eukaryota; Metazoa; Chordata; Mammalia; Artiodactyla; Balaenidae
Exons: 3
Source: RefSeq, a predicted model, not a curated record